CCUACGGGGGGCAGCAGUGAGGAAUAUUGGUCAAUGGGCGCGAGCCUGAACCAGCCAAGUAGCGUGAAGGAUGACUGCCCUACGGGUUGUAAACUUCUUUUAUAAAGGAAUAAAGUGAGGCACGUGUGCCUUUUUGUAUGUACUUUAUGAAUAAGGAUCGGCUAACUCCGUGCCAGCAGCCGCGGUAAUACGGAGGAUCCGAGCGUUAUCCGGAUUUAUUGGGGUUAAGGGGUGCGUAGGCGGACUGUUAAGUCAGCGGUAAAAUCCCGGGGCUCAACCCCGGCGAGCGGUUGAAACUGGCGGGCUUGAGAGGUCGAGAGGUAUGCGGAAUGCGCGGUGUAGCGGUGAAAUGUUUAGAUAUUGCGCAGAACUCCGAUGGCGAAGGCAGGAUACCGGCGGCGAUCUGACGCUGAGGCACGAAAGCGUGGGUAGCGAACAGGAUUAGAUACCCGUGUAGUC
This 459-nucleotide ribosomal RNA is filed under the name uncultured bacterium. RNAcentral's name for it is "partial 16S ribosomal RNA". It matches the Rfam family "Bacterial small subunit ribosomal RNA", at positions 338 to 795 of the family's 1533-position model. The record is from RNAcentral.